GGGGAUAGCCCUCCGAAAGGAGGAUUAAUACCCCAUAAUAAAUUGAAUGGCAUCAUUUGAUUUUGAAAGUUCCGGCGGUUAAGGAUGAGUAUGCGUCUGAUUAGCUAGUUGGUGAGGUAAAGGCUCACCAAGGCAACGAUCAGUAGGGGAUCUGAGAGGACUACCCCCCACACUGGUACUGAGACACGGACCAGACUCCUACGGGAGGCAGCAGUAAGGAAUAUUGGUCAAUGGAGGCAACUCUGAACCAGCCAUGCCGCGUGCAGGAAGACGGCCCUAUGGGUUGUAAACUGCUUUUGUACGGGAGAAAACCCUUUCACGUGUGAGAGGUUGAUAGUACCGUAAGAAUAAGCAUCGGCUAACUUCGUGCCAGCAGCCGCGGUAAGACGAAGGAUGCAAGCGUUAUCCGGAUUCAUUGGGUUUAAAGGGAGCGUAGGUGGACUUGUAAGUCAGUGGUGAAUCUCUCAGCUUAACUGAGAAACUGCCAUUGAUACUGCAGGUCUUGAGUACAGAUGAUGUGGGCGGAAUAUGACAUGUAGUGGUGAAAUACUUAGAUAUGUCAUAGAACACCGAUUGCGAAGGCAGCUCACAAAACUGUAACUG
Molecule: ribosomal RNA, 603 nt
Filed under: uncultured Bacteroidota bacterium
Lineage: Bacteria; Pseudomonadati; Bacteroidota
Description: bacterial SSU rRNA
Rfam family: Bacterial small subunit ribosomal RNA
Source: RNAcentral